UACGAACCGUGCGAACGUUGUUCGGAAUCACUGGGCUUAAAGGGCGCGUAGGCGGGCUAUCAAGUCCGGGGUGAAAUCCUCCAGCUUAACUGGAGAAUGGCCUCGGAUACUGAUGGUCUCGAGGAGGAUAGGGGCACACGGAACUGUGGGUGGAGCGGUGAAAUGCGUUGAUAUCCAUAGGAACUCCGGUGGCGAAAGCGGUGUGCUGGAUCCUUUCUGACGCUGAGGCGCGAAAGCCAGGGGAGCAAACGGG
Molecule: ribosomal RNA, 253 nt
Filed under: uncultured bacterium
Lineage: Bacteria
Description: partial 16S ribosomal RNA
Rfam family: Bacterial small subunit ribosomal RNA
Source: RNAcentral